AUACGUAGGGGGCUAGCGUUAUCCGGAUUUACUGGGCGUAAAGGGUGCGUAGGCGGAUUUUUAAGUGAGAUGUGAAAUACUCGGGCUUAACCUGGGUGCUGCAUUUCAAACUGGAAGUCUAGAGUGCAGGAGAGGAGAAGGGAAUUCCUAGUGUAGCGGUGAAAUGCGUAGAUAUUAGGAGGAACACCAGUAGCGAAGGCGGCUUUCUGGACUGUAACUGACACUGAGGCACGAAAGCGUGGGGAGC
RNAcentral lists this ribosomal RNA (247 nucleotides) under uncultured bacterium. Its description in RNAcentral is "partial 16S ribosomal RNA". It matches the Rfam family "Bacterial small subunit ribosomal RNA", at positions 523 to 769 of the family's 1533-position model. The record is from RNAcentral.